CAGCAGCCACGGUAAUACGUAGGUGGCAAGCGUUGUCCGGAAUUAUUGGGCGUAAAGCGCGCGCAGGCGGAUAGGUCAGUCUGUCUUAAAAGUUCGGGGCUUAACCCCGUGAUGGGAUGGAAACUGCCAAUCUAGAGUAUCGGGGAGGAAAGUGGAAUUCCUAGUGUAGCGGUGAAAUGCGUAGAUAUUGGGAAGAACACCAGUGGCGAAGGCGACUUUCUGGACGAAAACUGACGCUGAGGCGCGAAAGCCAGGGUAGCGAACGGGAUUAGAUACCCCCGUAGUCCCUGUCUCUUAUACA
This 301-nucleotide ribosomal RNA is filed under the name uncultured bacterium. RNAcentral describes it as "partial 16S ribosomal RNA". It matches the Rfam family "Bacterial small subunit ribosomal RNA", at positions 509 to 809 of the family's 1533-position model. The record is from RNAcentral.